UGCUGAGUGAUUAUAUUACUACCUGAAAUAAACAAGCAGUUUUGUUAUUUCAGGUAGUAAUAUAACCAUUCAGCAC
RNAcentral lists this microRNA precursor (76 nucleotides) under Paramuricea clavata. Lineage: Eukaryota; Metazoa; Cnidaria; Anthozoa; Malacalcyonacea; Plexauridae. The record is from RNAcentral.